CCUCACUGAGACCUGGAUCACACCAGGCGACACUGCAACCCCUGCAGCCCUCUCCUCCUCCUUCUCCUUCUCUCACGCCCCCCGCCCGUCUGGCUGUGGUGGGGGCACAGGUUUGCUCAUCUCUCCCUCUUGGAAAUUCUCUUCUCCCCCUCUCUCACCUCUCCAUCUCUACCUUUGAAUACCACUCUGUCUCAAUCACCUAUCCUGUUAACUUGUAUAUUGUGGUUAUCUAUCGCCCUUCAGGGCCCCUGGGAAGCUUCCUCCAUGAGCUCGACACCCUGCUCAGCUCCUUCCCAGAGGAUGGCACCCCACUGAUCCUGUUGUAGUCUGUAUUGAUCCUCCUGGGAGACUUCCACAUCCACCUUGAUGCCUCCCACUCCGCAGCCUUCCUGCCCCUACUCUACUCAUUCCAUCUCUCCCUGAUGCACUCCCCACCAACACACAAAGCUGGCAACCUCCUAGACUGGGUCAUCCUGAGGAAUUGCUCCUCCGAUCCCACGUUGACCCCUCUGCAUCAGUCCGACCACCACUUCGUUUCCUUCUCGACAUAGCUCAGGAGAUGUACUUGAAACCUCAAGAGGGAGAUCGAAGACAUCCUGAUCCGGUACCACGGGACCUUGUUGGUGGGCGACUCCCGCCGCUGCCGGUCCGACGAGUUUGCUGGACCCGGAGCCCGCCCUCGCUACCAGAUGUCUUACUGCUAAAAAUGCUGUCUUCGCUUUUAUAUACAAUAAAAAAG
Anguilla anguilla (European eel) is the source of this 739-nucleotide long non-coding RNA. RefSeq lists it as uncharacterized. The transcript is spliced from 3 exons. Lineage: Eukaryota; Metazoa; Chordata; Actinopteri; Anguilliformes; Anguillidae. The record is from RefSeq and is a predicted model, not a curated record.